RNAcentral lists this non-coding RNA (758 nucleotides) under Pongo abelii (Sumatran orangutan). The record is from RNAcentral. Lineage: Eukaryota; Metazoa; Chordata; Mammalia; Primates; Hominidae.
CUCUACUCCUCUCUUCUUUCCUCUCUCCCUCCCUGCUCCCCCACCUACGCCCCGAGUCGUAGACUCCCUUCCCCCCGGCGCUCGGAGCCUCCUUCCCGCCCCGCCGCGCAGGUGCAGCGACGGUCGCGUCACUGGAGAGUGUGUCGAGUCACAGGCGGUCUUCCGCGCGGAGCGUCUCCGGCGGACGCUGCGCAGAUGGCUGCGACUGUAGGAUUCUUGCCGGCUAGUCUCCGUCGGUUCCGUCUGCGUCAGGUUACUCGUGAAAACUGGAAUAAGUGCUAUUGAUGUGAAAUCCGAGGAAAAGAGCAUUCAGGGGGAAAAGUUAAAAGGACUUCUGACUCAAACUCCUCCUCUUGAGUUUGCAGUUCGCCACUUCCAGCCUGGUGACUAGGUGCUGAUUAAGACUUGGAAAGAAGACAAGCACCACCCAAGCUGAGAAGGUCCCUGUCAAGUGCUGCUGACCCCUGAGAUGGCCAUGUGUACAGCUGAAUGGGGGUGGACUCACUAUACUUGUCAAGGGACUGGUAAAAGAGACCCUGGAAGGGUGGGAAAAAGACCAGUGGAAAGUACGUGGGUCACCUGAGGAACCCUUAAAGUUAACUCUGAGAUGAAUCUAAAAAGAAAACAUGGGCUGGUCCCAUUUCUGGAAGUUAAUAUGGCUGGGAUGGGCUACUAUACAAAGAGAAGAAGGUCAAAGUAGAAACUAUCAGGGGACUCCUCCCUACCCACUCAGGUUGGUAAUUAAUGUAAACAAGAUG